UGAAUAUGCCCUUAAGAGAAACAGAUGAAGCAGAUCUGAGCGGAAUCUGGAGGUUGAAAAGCGGAUGCAAUUUCCGGCAUAUUCA
The submitters of this non-coding RNA (85 nucleotides) gave its source as unclassified sequences. The record is from Rfam.